RNAcentral lists this long non-coding RNA (844 nucleotides) under Pan troglodytes (chimpanzee). RNAcentral's name for it is "lncRNA (ENSPTRG00000054629.1)". Lineage: Eukaryota; Metazoa; Chordata; Mammalia; Primates; Hominidae. The record is from RNAcentral.
AUGCCCUUUCUCUCUGGGGCUGAGGGAGGAAAUACUCCCACCCCCUGCUGGCUCCAGUCUGGGUGGGGUGUCCCUGGGGGACAAUGGGAGGAAGUCUUGUUUCAUGUCCUCCCGCCAGCCUGGCCCCCUUAUAAUCUGGCAUCCUUCCCCUGGUGGGCCCAGCAAGAUGGAUCUACGGUGGAUCCUGCCCUCCCUGUGGCUUCUCCUGCUUGGGGGGCCUGCCUGCCUGAAGACCCAGGAACACCCCAGCUGCCCGGGUGGGCACCUAGGGUGCCCUCCUCACCAACCCACUCCUCAUUCCCUCGCUGGGUGUCCCCCCACCAAGGCUCAUCAACCUCAAGGACCAGGGACCCAGGGAACUGGAAGCCAGCAAAGUUGUCCUCCUGCCCAGUUGUCCCGGAGCUCCAGGAAGUCCUGGGGAGAAGGGAGCCCCAGGUCCUCAAGGGCCACCUGGACCACCAGGCAAGAUGGGCCCCAAGGGUGAGCCAGGUGAGUAAGUGGGGCUGGAGGCCUCCCCGCUUUCUUUGCCUCUGUCCCUGGACUCUAGGGUGGGAUCUCUGCUUGGCUGCUGCGCCUAUGAUGGCUCUCUCACAGGGGAAUGGAUGGCUGGGAGGAGUGGGAAGGAUUAGGAGAAGGGCCUGGCUACCCUAUGAUGGCUCUCUCACAGGGGAAUGGAUGGCUGGGAGGAGUGGGAAGGAUUAGGAGAAGGGCCUGGCUACCCUAUGAUGGCUCUCUCACAGGGGAAUGGAUGGCUGGGAGGAGUGGGAAGGAUUAGGAGAAGGGCCUGGCUACCCUAUGAUGGCNNNNNNNNNNNNNNNNNNNNNNNNNCCUCCUACUGGGGGAC